RNAcentral lists this unclassified non-coding RNA (329 nucleotides) under Hevea brasiliensis (rubber tree). Lineage: Eukaryota; Viridiplantae; Streptophyta; Magnoliopsida; Malpighiales; Euphorbiaceae. The record is from RNAcentral.
CGCCCGUACAAAUUCACCUACUAUUAUAAUAUCACUGCAUGUUUUUCUUUUUUCCCCCGCCGUUGUGUACGAUAUAUAGAGAGGGAGGAUAAUGCUAACUAGAUUCUCCUGCCCACAAAAGAAAAUAGUAGAGAUUGUUUUUAAAUCUCACAAAAAGAUAUGGAGAGAAACUAAUCCCAACAAACCCUUGGGUGAUCCAAUGGUGUAGAUUAAAACAUGGGCAAGUGUUACUAUUAAUUAGAAAUGGGUUGAGUGCAUGAAUGAGUAGAUUCUCGAGAGGUUAAAAAAACAAGAGAUGGAAUGGAAUACCCACUUGAGGGGGACAGAAA